GACGAACGCUGGCGGCGUGCUUAACACAUGCAAGUCGAACGGAAAGGCCCUGCUUUUGUGGGGUGCUCGAGUGGCGAACGGGUGAGUAACACGUGAGUAACCUGCCCUUGACUUUGGGAUAACUUCAGGAAACUGGGGCUAAUACCGGAUAGGAGCUCCUGCUGCAUGGUGGGGGUUGGUAAGUUUCGGCGGUUGGGGAUGGACUCGCGGCUUAUCAGCUUGUUGGUGGGGUAGCGGCUUACCAAGGCUUUGACGGGUAGCCGGCCUGAGAGGGUGACCGGCCACAUUGGGACUGAGAUACGGCCCAGACUCCUACGGGAGGCAGCAGUGGGGAAUAUUGCACAAUGGGCGGAAGCCUGAUGCAGCAACGCCGCGUGCGGGAUGACGGCCUUCGGGUUGUAAACCGCUUUCGCCUGUGACGAAGCGUGAGUGACGGUAAUGGGUAAAGAAGCACCGGCUAACUACGUG
RNAcentral lists this ribosomal RNA (468 nucleotides) under uncultured bacterium. RNAcentral's name for it is "partial 16S ribosomal RNA". It matches the Rfam family "Bacterial small subunit ribosomal RNA", at positions 28 to 507 of the family's 1533-position model. The record is from RNAcentral.